CGGAGGAAAAGAAACCAACAGGGAUUGCCUCAGUAACGGCGAGUGAAGCGGCAACAGCUCAAAUUUGAAAUCUGGCCGCAAGGUCCGAGUUGUAAUUUGCAGAGGAUGCUUUUGGCGAGGUGCCUUCCGAGUUCCCUGGAACGGGACGCCAUAGAGGGUGAGAGCCCCGUACGGUAGGACCACCGAGCCUCUGUAAAGCUCCUUCGACGAGUCGAGUAGUUUGGGAAUGCUGCUCUAAAUGGGAGGUGUACGUCUUCUAAAGCUAAAUACCGGCCAGAGACCGAUAGCGCACAAGUAGAGUGAUCGAAAGAUGAAAAGCACUUUGAAAAGAGGGUUAAAAAGUACGUGAAAUUGUUGAAAGGGAAGCAUUCAUGACCAGACUUGGGCUUGGUUGAACAUCCGGCGUUCUCGCCGGUGCACUCUGCCAGUCCAGGCCAGCAUCAGUUUGCCCCGGGGGAUAAAGGCGGUGGGAAUGUGGCACCCUCCGGGGUGUGUUAUAGCCCGCCGUGUAAUGCCCUGGGGUGGACUGAGGAACGCGCUUCGGCACGGAUGCUGGCGUAAUGGUCAUCAAUGACCCGUCU
Molecule: ribosomal RNA, 581 nt
Filed under: Sarocladium spinificis
Lineage: Eukaryota; Fungi; Ascomycota; Sordariomycetes; Hypocreales; Sarocladiaceae
Description: LSU rRNA
Rfam family: Eukaryotic large subunit ribosomal RNA
Source: RNAcentral